UAUGGUUCCAUGGCGGCAAUU
Molecule: non-coding RNA, 21 nt
Filed under: Caenorhabditis elegans
Lineage: Eukaryota; Metazoa; Nematoda; Chromadorea; Rhabditida; Rhabditidae
Source: RNAcentral